Long non-coding RNA from Salvia miltiorrhiza (redroot sage), 2292 nucleotides. RefSeq lists it as uncharacterized. Lineage: Eukaryota; Viridiplantae; Streptophyta; Magnoliopsida; Lamiales; Lamiaceae. The transcript is spliced from 4 exons. The record is from RefSeq and is a predicted model, not a curated record.
GCGGCCUCGGACUGGGCUGGGCUUCAGGUUUGCCGGCCGGUGGUUGUCCGUAGGGGUGAGCCGGGUAGGGUUAGGAAUGGGGGGGAGGGCGUGCGGGGACUGGCGCUGAGGGCGUGCGGGGUGCGGCGCAGUGAGAGGAAAGUGGAGAAGAUUUAGGUUAGGUCCGUUAGGGAGAGAAUGAGAAUUAGUGGAAAAAAAAACCCUAGUACUUUACAUUAUGGUCGGUCGGUUCGGUUUUCGACCGGCCAAAAUCGAGAAAACCGAACCGGCCGACCAAACCAAAAUUUCUGCAUAUUUUGGGCCGAACCGACCGCCCAGUACAAAAAAACCGACCGAAAACCGAUCGGUUCGGUCAUUUUUCGGUCGGCUCGGUUUUUGCUCACCCCUAAAUGUAGCAAACUUUAAUGGGACGGAGGAAGUAUCUCUCAAUCACGGUUCUCCUCCCCAAAUCUCUCUCUGUUCACGAUCUCUCCCUCUUUGUGAGAUAGUCGUCGCCACUGCUGAGGCAAGUUCCGGCGAAUGGUAGGUAUUCGUGAUCUUCCAGCGAAAUCGAUCGCCGCGACCUCGCCUCUUCAUUUUCGUCUAACAUAUAGCUAGGGCAAAGGUUGAGCCCUAGUUCUUCUCUGUUCGGUACAGCCCAUCCGUCGCCAUCUCAGGGAGACCGGCGAGCUGCACGACCUAGAGUCCGCCCAUCGCUGCUGGUGGUUCGCGGAUCGGCGAGCCGAUAGUGUUCUCCGGCCGAUUCUCUUCUCAACUCCACAUAAUCGAGGUAGGAAAGGGGGAGAGCCCUAAUUCUCCUCUCAUCCUCUAUCUGCCGUUUCGGUCGUGAGCUUCCGGUGAGGCCGUCGCUGUUACUUGGAGGGUUGGAGGUGUCUUGGCCAUGUCUCGUGCAUUUGGAAAUCGCAUGCUGAAACAAUUCGUUGUAGCUGAACCUGAGAUUCAGGCUUUGUAGGGGGAGCUUGCGUUUGAGAUUGCGGAGGAGUUCGCGCAGGAGUAUAUCCGGAUGUCUUUCGAUGAUGGGAAGCUUUCCCACAUUGUCUAUGUUGUGUAGCUGAGGUUUUCAACUUACACCUUGUGAAAUUUUGCUGCUUAUAUUGUUAUGUGUUGGUUUAUAUGCUGUUAGAGGACCAGGUGUAUCUUGUGUAGUUGUGGAGUUGUACAGGAGGUGUAGACUUGUGAUAAUUAAAAGCCUUUAGUUUUAUUGAGUACUAUAAAAAAAUGAUCUUUUUGAAUGAGAUUGCCUUUUUUGAAGUUUCUAAUCGUGCUUUUCAGAUUUGAGAUGGCAAUGGAUUUAUCUUUGUGAAGAUAGGAAGACUAAGUGAGGUUUUGUUGUUGGGUUUGUGUGUAUUUGCAGAUUUAUCACUCAACUACUGCAAUCUUAUUGGAAUUGUGUGACUUUUCUAGUUGUCAUGUAAUGUUUGUGAUGUUAAUAAUAUUUGAUUAUGAGAGUUCUGACGAAUGUUAAAACCCUAUAUAAAAUGAAACUAAUAAGUAAACUUCAUUAUCAUAUUGGAUAGUAUGUUGCUGAAUUUGCCUACCUUAUAUUUCAGGCAAAAGGCAUGUUUCCUUGAGCACCUUGACUUGACUGUGUAGAAGUCGAUAGAUAGCAUUAGACUGAGUUGUUGGUUUUACAUAUAUUUUUUCACAUUCAUUAUGCAAAUAUAGUUCACAUUCUCACGCUCUUGCUCAUAUAUUUCACAACUUCAACUCUUGACCGUAGUCUAAUGAUGGGAUAAAUAUGCAAGUCACCAACUGUGCAUCGUGCUCUGUAAUGUUCACUUAGCUAUGUAAUAUUCCAUUUAGAUUGAAUUAGUUAACUUGAUGUAUAAAUAAGGGAUUUGAUGGACAAACUUGAAGUGAAACUAUGCAUCAGUACUAAUUCCAACGGUACAGGGGAAAAUCACUUACAUAUGCAGGCAGCUUAACAAGUCAGUAGUGGUAGAUGCUCAGCUUUUGGAGUCGAUGGUCAAAUAUCCUACCCCAACAAGAGCUGAGUUUCAGUUGCUGGUGUUCACUUUCUGAUAUAAUGUGGCUUUUGUAGAAGAGGUGUUCAAGAAUUGAAAAAACAAGUGAAUGUCGGAAGAAUUCAUUAGUUAGAGAGCAGAAAGCAUACUAUGACGAUGAUGAUAAUUUUGUUUUAGUUAUAAGAUACUCGAUAAUUUCAGUUUUUAUCGAAAUAAUUGCUAUGAUUAUAUUGUACUUGAUACUUGGUGUAAUUCAGAUGAUAUUGUAUGAAUAUUUCGAAUGAUAUACUCCCUCCGUCCGCGAAUUAAAUCCCCAUUUGCCUCUAAA